UCUCUAUCCAUCGUCACAACCCAAAAUUCCAUCAAAGACCCACGAAAUCUAAACUCUAACCAUCCCUCAAGCCUCCAUGGCAGAAGCUCUCUCUCUCUUUCUCUCUCUCUCUCUCUCUCUCUCUCUCUCUCUCAUCAGUAACUUUUAGGGCUGGGCAUCUGAGGACCGCCCUCGCCGCCUACUCGAUGUCACACGCCACUGCACAGAUGCAGACCAUUGUCUCGCUCUGAUAUGUAGUUGCUCAUCUUCGAUAUCUGCAAUCGGACAAGCGUGAGGAGAUGGAGGACUCAUGAGCCAGAGUUACAUCCCUACUUUGUACAUGGAGAUUUAUGGGAGUCUUUCAAGGACUGGAGUGCGUACGGUGCAUGGGUCACAAAAUGGGAGUGACUCUGUUAUGUACUAUGUUCCUUAUUUGUCUGCUAUUCAGCUCUAUGUAGACCCAUCAAAGCCCUCCACAAGAAUAAGGUCAACAAUAUUGUAAACACAAGACUUUCAAUCAAUUCAGUCUGUGAUUUUUCUGCUUAAGCACUCUGGAUUAUAGUUUAUGUUUGCAGCUGCUAACUCUGGUGCAAUGUUCAUUCCUUAAUGUUUCUGUUCAUCCUUUAUUGUGUAUAGUUUAUGGGUUCACAUAGAUGUCAUUUUUUGGGGAAAAUCUUGAGGAAAUUUGAAUUUAGUGACUGAAGCAGAUGGAGCAUGCUGUGCAUUUUGGUGUGAUUAAUUUUUUCAUUAUCAUUGUUGGAUUCCUUGCACUUCUAUUGAGGUUGUUAUAUA
Molecule: long non-coding RNA, 771 nt
Organism: Prunus dulcis (almond)
Lineage: Eukaryota; Viridiplantae; Streptophyta; Magnoliopsida; Rosales; Rosaceae
Exons: 2
Source: RefSeq, a predicted model, not a curated record